UGGGGAAUUUUGGACAAUGGGCGAAAGCCUGAUCCAGCCAUGCCGCGUGAGUGAAGAAGGCCUUCGGGUUGUAAAGCUCUUUUAGUCGGAAAGAAAAGAUCAUAAUGAACAAUUAUGAUUCAUGACGGUACCGACAGAAAAAGCACCGGCUAACUACGUGCCAGCAGCCGCGGUAAUACGUAGGGUGCGAGCGUUAAUCGGAAUUACUGGGCGUAAAGGGUGCGCAGGCGGUUUUGUAAGUCAGAUGUGCAAUCCCCGGGCUUAACCUGGGAAUUGCGUUUGAAACUGCAAGACUAGAGUGCAGCAGAGGGGAGUGGAAUUCCAUGUGUAGCAGUGAAAUGCGUAGAGAUGUGGAAGAACACCGAUGGCGAAGGCAGCUCCCUGGGUUGACACUGACGCUCAUGCACGAAAGCGUGGGGAGCAAACA
This 427-nucleotide ribosomal RNA is filed under the name uncultured beta proteobacterium. RNAcentral's name for it is "bacterial SSU rRNA". It matches the Rfam family "Bacterial small subunit ribosomal RNA", at positions 355 to 774 of the family's 1533-position model. The record is from RNAcentral. Lineage: Bacteria; Pseudomonadati; Pseudomonadota; Betaproteobacteria.